CGAACGGGUGAGUAACGCGUGAGGAACCUGCCUCAAAGAGGGGGACAACAGUUGGAAACGACUGCUAAUACCGCAUAAGCCCACGGGUCGGCAUCGACCUGAGGGAAAAGGAGCAAUCCGCUUUGAGAUGGCCUCGCGUCCGAUCAGCUAGUUGGUGAGGUAACGGCCCACCAAGGCGACGAUCGGUAGCCGGACUGAGAGGUUGAACGGCCACAUUGGGACUGAGACACGGCCCAG
This 237-nucleotide ribosomal RNA is filed under the name uncultured bacterium. RNAcentral's name for it is "partial 16S ribosomal RNA". It matches the Rfam family "Bacterial small subunit ribosomal RNA", at positions 99 to 334 of the family's 1533-position model. The record is from RNAcentral.